Molecule: ribosomal RNA, 390 nt
Filed under: Triticum aestivum (bread wheat)
Lineage: Eukaryota; Viridiplantae; Streptophyta; Magnoliopsida; Poales; Poaceae
Description: partial small subunit ribosomal RNA
Source: RNAcentral
AUGAGGCAGCUUCAUCAAAAUAGUAAAAUCCCCUCGAUCUUAAUAGGUGAUCUCAAUGAAAUUCAAUUCCUUCAUGACAAGGAGGGUGGUAAUCCUCGUCCUACUCGGUACAUGCAAGCUUUCCAGGAGGCCAUUGAUGACUGCGAGCUGCAUGAUCUAGGCUUCCUCGGAGAUCGGUUUACCUGGCGCCGAGGGAGGAUAAGGGAGAGGUUGGAUAGAGGCUUAAUAAACGAUGCAUGGGCAAACUUGUUUCCUCAUGCGGCUCUUGAAAAUUUGGAGUUUAAUCAUUCCGAUCACCAACCACUACUGGUGAACACUACUUAUUACGAUGGUAUGGGAAACGGUAGUGGUAGCGCCUGUCCGAAAAGGUUUGAAGCAAGAUGGUUAUGA